RNAcentral lists this transfer RNA (85 nucleotides) under Ralstonia solanacearum. RNAcentral's name for it is "tRNA-Leu". It matches the Rfam family "tRNA". Rfam says of the family: Transfer RNA (tRNA) molecules are approximately 80 nucleotides in length. Their secondary structure includes four short double-helical elements and three loops (D, anti-codon, and T loops). The record is from RNAcentral. Lineage: Bacteria; Pseudomonadati; Pseudomonadota; Betaproteobacteria; Burkholderiales; Burkholderiaceae.
GCCCGGAUGACGAAAUUGGUAGACGUAGCGGACUUAAAAUUCGCGCCCGAAAGGGGUACGGGUUCGAUUCCCGUUCCGGGCACCA